This is a long non-coding RNA of Bos taurus (domestic cattle), 675 nucleotides long. NCBI's taxonomy places the organism in Eukaryota, Metazoa, Chordata, Mammalia, Artiodactyla, Bovidae. The record is from Ensembl.
GUGUCAAUCCCUGGGUGAGAGGGCGGGGCGGAGGCGCAGUCUGCUGCCCCGGCGCGCCGGCGGACGCUGGCUGGCGGCCGCGCAGCGCUCUGAGGCCCAGGAGGCGGUCCAGGCAGGCGUUCGCCCGGCCCCGUGCGCGCCGCAGUCCCCCGCCCCCGUUCAGUGCGGCAGCGGCUGCGGGCCAGCCAAGAUGAGCAAUCUGGGGCACAGCCAGAUUGAGGAUUCCCUCUGGGCAAUGCAAAAGGAACCUCAUCUCCUGGAACAGAGUAGCAAGAUGCCCCUUCCUUCAGCGUGCGUGUGUGCAUGAUUAGUCGUGUCCAACUUUGUGACCCCAUGGAAUGUAGCCCACCAGGCUCCUCUGUUCAUGGGAUUAUCCAGCUAAAACCAUCUCUGCCAUCCUGAGUCGCUUCAGUCGUGUCCAACUCUGUGCAACCCCAUCGACUGGAGCCCUUCAGGCUCCUCUGUCCAUGGGAUCCUCCAGGCAAGAAUAUUGGAGUGGGUUGCCAUCUCCUUCUCCAGGGGAUCUUCCAAAGGGAGAGAUUGAACCCUCAUCUCUUAAGUCUCCUGCAUCGGCAGGCGGGUUCUUUUACCACUAGUGCCACCUGCCACCAAAACCAUCUCUAGACAUUGUUAAAUUGCCCUGGUUGGGGGCAAAACUGCUGCCCAGUUGAAACC